RNAcentral lists this ribosomal RNA (1371 nucleotides) under uncultured bacterium. RNAcentral describes it as "bacterial SSU rRNA". It matches the Rfam family "Bacterial small subunit ribosomal RNA". The record is from RNAcentral.
AGAGUUUGAUCCUGGCUCAGAACGAACGCUGGCGGCAUGGAUUAGGCAUGCAAGUCGAACGAGGCAGCAAUGCCGAGUGGCGGAAGGGUGAGGAACGCGUGAGUAAUCUGCCCUCAAGUCGGGAAUAACAGUUGGAAACGAUUGCUAAUACCGGAUGUGGUUCAUCUGACGCAUGUUGGAUGGACUAAAGAGUUUCGCUUGAGGAUGAGCUCGCGUCCCAUUAGCUGGUUGGUGAGGUAACGGCCCACCAAGGCGACGAUGGGUAGCUGGUCUGAGAGGAUGGUCAGCCACACUGGGACUGAGACACGGACCAGACUCCUACGGGAGGCAGCAGUGAGGAAUAUUGGUCAAUGGAGGCAACUCUGAACCAGCCAUGCCGCGUGCAGGAUGACGGUCCUAUGGAUUGUAAACUGCUUUUGUACGGGAAGAAAAACUGCUACGUGUAGCACAUUGACGGUACCGUAAGAAUAAGGAUCGGCUAACUCCGUGCCAGCAGCCGCGGUAAUACGGAGGAUCCAAGCGUUAUCCGGAAUCAUUGGGUUUAAAGGGUCCGUAGGCGGUAGAGUAAGUCAGCGGUGAAAGUUUGCAGCUUAACUGUAAAAUUGCCAUUGAUACUGCUUUACUUGAAUUACUUAGAAGUUACUAGAAUAUGUAGUGUAGCGGUGAAAUGCUUAGAUAUUACAUGGAAUACCAAUUGCGAAGGCAGGUAACUAUGAGUUAAUUGACGCUGAUGGACGAAAGCGUGGGUAGCGAACAGGAUUAGAUACCCUGGUAGUCCACGCCGUAAACGACGGAUACUAGCUGUUUGAGCUUCGGUUUGAGUGGCUAAGCGAAAGUGAUAGGUAUCCCACCUGGGGAGUACGCACGCAAGUGUGAAACUCAAAGGAAUUGACGGGGGCCCGCACAAGCGGUGGAGCAUGUGGUUUAAUUCGAUGAUACGCGAGGAACCUUACCAGGGCUUAAAUGUAGAUUGACAGAUUUGGAAACAGAUUUUUCUUCGGACAAUUUACAAGGUGCUGCAUGGUUGUCGUCAGCUCGUGCCGUGAGGUGUCAGGUUAAGUCCUAUAACGAGCGCAACCCCUGUUGUUAGUUGCCAGCGAGUCAUGUCGGGAACUCUAGCAAGACUGCCAGUGUAAACUGUGAGGAAGGUGGGGAUGACGUCAAAUCAUCACGGCCCUUACGUCCUGGGCCACACACGUGCUACAAUGGCCGGUACAGAGAGCAGCCACUUGGCGACAAGGAGCGAAUCUAUAAAGCCGGUCACAGUUCGGAUCGGAGUCUGCAACUCGACUCCGUGAAGCUGGAAUCGCUAGUAAUCGGAUAUCAGCCAUGAUCCGGUGAAUAAAUUCCCGGGCCUUGCACACACCGCCC